AGUCACGCGAGACAGGGGCGCCCCGAGGCGGGAAGCGGUGGAGGCCACCGCGGACGGUGGCUCUGGGAGACGCCCAAGACCGGAAAGGGGGAGGGGACCCAGGAAGGGCCCGCGAGGAGCUCAGGGCCCUGCAGAAGGCGGUACAAGGGGCCCCGACUGUGUCUGGGACCCAGGUGUGGCGAGACCUCCUGCUAGCAGAGUAGAUACGGACAAGACAGGCGAACCGCCUGAUGGCUUCCGGCGCUGUGGAACCAGCUGGCUCCCCACCAGCGGUUCAUGGACACACCCCAGAGGCAGGCAGGGAACUGAGACGCCGCCAGAGAGACCCGAAAUGUGUGGCUGCAAGAUUUUUAUGGUUGAAACCCCCUCUUUGAUAUAGACAAGGGGUUAGGCCAAGGCACCUGGUUAGAGGGGACCCCAGAUGACUGGAGGCCACGUGUGGAACUUGCUAUUCAUUCGUCCCCUAUGAAUGUGCAGCGGGUUUUGACCUCGGUGGACACAGGAGCUGGCUGCUCCCUGAUCUAUGGGAACCCUGAGCGGUUUGCUGGGCAGACAGCCCACAUACAUGGCUAUGGUGGGCAGACUGUCCCAGUUAAACAAGUGACUAUUCCACUGGGGCUGACCAUUUGACCCCCAGGCCUUACACUGUGAAUGUGUCCCCUGGAAAAGAAUAUAUCCUGGGUGUUCACAUUCUGCCUGCUUAACCCUAACCACCUCCAUGGGUGAGUUCUGCCUCCGAGUUAGGGCUGUGAAGCCGGUGGUGUGUGGCCCCGUCCCACCACAGUCUGCCCACGCCUGACCGUGUGGUACACACACAACAGGGUUGCUUGCCCAGGGGGCAUGAAGAAAUUUCACAAACCAUAUUGCAUCCGGCUCGCAGUCCAUUCAAGUCUCCUGUCUGGCGAGUUAAGAAACCAGAGGGAACUUGGAGAAUGACAGUGGACCACCGGUAGCUGAAUAAAGUGACUCCCGCAUGGCAUGCUGUGGUGCCAUCUAUGCUGGAUCUGAUGGAUUAGCUGACUUUGGUGCUUGGACAGCACCACUGUGUGGUGGACUGACGCCUUGUUCUCCACAGACUUAGCUAUGGACAGUCAAGGCCAGUUUGCCUUCACAUGGGAAGGAUGACAGUGGGCAUUUGUGGUGUUCCCACAGGUCACCUCCACAGCCCAACCAUAUGUCAUGGUUUGGCGACACAGGAUUUGGCCAGAUGGAAUCGGCCAUCCUCAGUGUUUCUGUUUCAUUAUAUUGAUGAUACAGUGUUAACCUCUGACUCCCUUACAGAUCUAGAAGAAGCUGCCGCCAGUCUUCAAACUUUUUGGAACAAUGGGGUUGGGCGGUGAACAACUCCAAAGUCCAGGCACCUGGCUUUUUGGUCAAAUUCUCGGCUGUUGUCUAAUCAGAUUGCUGCUGGACCAGCCUGACCUCAUGAUGUGGUAGAUCUAGCAAAACCAAGCUCAUCAUGGGAACUUCUAGACACAUGGUCAUAUCCCUUGGCAGGUAGUCCAUCUCUACGUAGGUCCAGUAGCAUGUCAGGAGCUAUUAAGAUGCAUAGUUAUGCUAUGUAAUUACAUGGUAUAUAAUUAUCUACAUUAGCAUAGCCUUUACAGAGAAACCACAGGACUAUAUUGUGAUUCUCCUGUUGGGUUUGCCAUAAACUCCACACGGUGUUUCUUCCAGCUGCAUAUUCCUCUAAUACCAUGUAGUCUAGAUUGUAUGGUUCCAAUGGUAGGGCUGCUUGCACUGUAGCCUGGACCUGAUGCAGAGCUCUUUGCCACCCUACACUUUGUCCAGGUGGCAGCCUUCUAUGUCACUUAGCAAUAUGUCUCUACAGUAUUCCUAACUACUAGAAUAUGCUGCUUCCAAAGCCCAAAGAGGCCUACGGAUUAUUGUGCUUUCUUUUUAUGGUGGGAAUGUGAGCUGCAAUAAUGUGUCCUUUAUUUAGACAUACCCCAAAUCACUGGGCCUCCUAAAAUUGUCAUUGAUGUGGCAGGUCCUUUAAUCUUCAGAGGGGUUUUCUCUCACUCUCGGGAAUGCAUGUGUCUCACCAAGACGUUCAACAUGCCACUUCCUACUCACAGUUUUAACUGAUAAAUACCAUGGACAAGUGUGGUGCUCUGAGGAAUGUCCGAACAACCCAGGUCUCUGGACUAUAUGAUGACAGAAGGUAGAACUGAUACAGAUUUUGGACAAGACCCCAGAUGUAUGCUGUUGUCCUCCUCAGUGAAUGUGAAUUGCUUCUGACAAAUUUCCCUCUAAGUGUUGCUUCAGCUAUUUUAAAUACAUAUUGAUUUGUAAGCUUUUCAUUUUCUUCAAUUUUAAAUAUGUUCUGAUUUUUAUUAUAAUUUCUUCUUGGUUCUAUAAAUUAUUUGGAAAACAGUUUUUAACUUCUAAGGUUUAUGGAUUUCUUUUGGAUAACUUUUUGGUAUUGAUUUCUAAUAGUGUUUCUAUUCUGUCACCAAUGUAAAAAUUUGUAAAUUGGCCUAAUAUCUGGUCAGUUUUCAUAAACAGUUCAAGUGUGCUUGAAAAGAAUAGUAAGUCUUUAAUUGUUGAUUUGUCUAAUUUUAUAUCCAUUUAGUCAAUUAUUAGGAAUAAAGUGUUAAAAUCUUUCA
This is a non-coding RNA of Microcebus murinus (gray mouse lemur), 2609 nucleotides long. The record is from RefSeq and is a predicted model, not a curated record. Lineage: Eukaryota; Metazoa; Chordata; Mammalia; Primates; Cheirogaleidae.